AUGGCUUUCUCAAGAGGCUUUACAAAAACAAAUAUAUUAAAUUUCAGAAACAAAGUUUUACUGCAGCUUGCUGAAUCGCCACUAGCACUAGAUGCCUUCUCAAAACUAUAUAUAAAACCUUAUCCAAGGCGGGAGGGAAUGAUGAGAGGGAAACAGAAUGCUUACAAUUUAACCACAGACUUAUAUUUGCAAACUCUUCGAUUAAUCAUAUUCUAA
Molecule: non-coding RNA, 216 nt
Organism: Vicia faba (fava bean)
Lineage: Eukaryota; Viridiplantae; Streptophyta; Magnoliopsida; Fabales; Fabaceae
Source: the annotation of a GenBank genome assembly